Molecule: ribosomal RNA, 521 nt
Filed under: Legionella pneumophila
Lineage: Bacteria; Pseudomonadati; Pseudomonadota; Gammaproteobacteria; Legionellales; Legionellaceae
Also listed under: 1 other name
Description: partial 23S ribosomal RNA
Rfam family: Bacterial large subunit ribosomal RNA
Source: RNAcentral
AAUCCUGGUUGAAGAUGGGUGGACCAUCAUCCAAGGCUAAAUACUACUUACUGACCGAUAGUGAACCAGUACCGUGAGGGAAAGGUGAAAAGAACCCCGGAGAGGGGAGUGAAAUAGAAUCUGAAACCGUUUGCGUACAAGCAGUGGGAGCAUGGUUUAGGCUGUGUGACUGCGUACCUUUUGUAUAAUGGGUCAGCGAGUUACUUUCAGUGGCGAGGUUAACUGAAUAAGGGAGCCGUAGAGAAAUCGAGUCUGAAUAGGGCGAUAGUCGCUGGGAGUAGACCCGAAACCGGGCGAUCUAGCCAUGUGCAGGAUGAAGGUUGGGUAACACCAACUGGAGGUCCGAACCGGGUAAUGUUGAAAAAUUAUCGGAUGACGUGUGGCUAGGAGUGAAAGGCUAAUCAAGCCCGGAGAUAGCUGGUUCUCCCCGAAAGCUAUUUAGGUAGCGCCUCGUGAAUGAUUACUGGGGGUAGAGCACUGUUUCGGCUAGGGGGCUGUCAUGGCUUACCAAACCGAUGCAA